ACUGGCUUAGUAUAUUUAAGUACCCCGGAUUGUAGGUCCGGUAGAGAGGUAGAUCAGUCGGAA
Molecule: transfer RNA, 63 nt
Filed under: Amphimerus sp. JM-2019
Lineage: Eukaryota; Metazoa; Platyhelminthes; Trematoda; Opisthorchiida; Opisthorchiidae
Description: tRNA-Tyr
Source: RNAcentral